UUUCUUUUUUGUAGCCCCGCUGUCCUGGAACUCCCUCUCUAAACCAGGCUGUCCUUAAACUCAGAGAGAUCUGUCUGGCUCUGCUUCCUGAGUGCUGGGAUUAAAGGCGUGCGCGACCAUGCCCGGCGAGACCCUGUCUUUUAAAAAAAAGUGUCUACCAUGACUGAAGCUUCUCAAAUGUGCUCUCUAGUGAACCCAGAUGAAUACACUAUGUGUAAAAAAAAAAAAAUGUCGGGAUGAAACCCAUUAUUAUGGAUAAUUGCUAUAUGCUAAUAAAAACAGAGUGCCCAUCACAGAUAAAUGUAUAAACAACAGAGAUUGCUAGUGAUAUAGGUUAACUAUAAAAGACACUCUGUGCACAGGAGGCCUUGGGUUCAAUUCCCAGGAUUUUAAAUGAAUGAAUAAUAAAAUUGAUAAGUAAAAGGUUUUUGUUUUUUUUUUUGUAAGAUUUAUUUUAUUGAUUAGUAUACUAUAGCUCUCUCCAGACACACCAGAAGAGGGCAUCAGAUCCCAUUUCAGAUAGUUGUGAGCCACCAUGUGGUUGCUGGGAAUUGCAUUCAGGACCUCUGGAAGAGCAGUCAGUGCUCUUAACCACGGAGCCAUCUCUCCAGCCCAAGAAGUAAAAGUUAAAAGAUUGCCAUUAACCACCAAAAGUUAGGAGCGAGACAAGGAAUGGGAUGUCCCUUGGAGAGCACAAACUCUGGGUCCCCAGAGCUAUGAGAAAAUAUGGCUGGUGACCUUGGUACUUUGCUGUUCCAGGAAACCAAUACUGUUGUACUCAGAUUGGAGCUGGUUUGUUACAGAGCUGGAGGUGAAACCACAACUCCUUCCUAGGUAUCCCCUGGAGUGUCUAUCCCCUGAGCUGUACCCCGUGCCCCUAAGCUCUUUUAGCCUUGAGGGAUGUUGGCAAGGGAGGCUUUGGAUGAAGAGAGAACUUUUCCAUUCACAAGCUGAAUCUGAAGAAAAUAUCUCCUAUCUAGAACUCACCAGGUUGAAAAGUUAAACCUUUUUCUUUGUUCAUAGUCACUAGCUUACAAAACAUUAUUUUUUGGCACGUUCAGAUAGGGUUUUAUGAAGCCCACGUUGGUCUUAAGAUUCAGUUGUAGCUAGGGAUGAAUUUGAACUUGAUCCUCCCAGUGGUACGAUAGGCUCCGUCCCACCAGACCUGGUUUUAUGCAGGGUUUGAGACUGAACUCAUAACUUUGUAUAAGCGAGGCAAACACUUUACCGACUAAGUCACACUCCAAGCCAUGCAUUAGGGUUUCAUUUUAAGGAAUAGCCUCUGGGUAUAGGAUUAAAAUGUAGGGCACCACCACCUAUGAAAUGUUUUUGGCAUCAAGUCCAGAGUGUAAGAGUUAAGAUUCCUGGGGGCUGGCGUGAUGGUUCAGCAGUUAAGAGCACUGACUGCUCUUCUGAAGGUCCUGAGUUUAAAUCCCAGCAACCACAUGGUGGCUUACAACCACUGGUAAUGAGAUCUGACGCCCUCUUCUGGUAUGUCAGAAGUCAGCUACAGUGUACUUAUGUAUAAUAAUAAAUGAAGCUUUGGUCCAGAGCAAGCAGGGACUGAGUGAGUGGGGUUGACCUGAGCGAGUAGAGGUCCUAAAAAUUCAAUCCCCAACAACCACAUGAAGGCUUACAACAAUCUGUACAACUACAGUGUACUCACAUACAUAAAAUAAAUAAAUAAAUCUUU
This 1693-nucleotide long non-coding RNA is filed under the name Mus musculus (house mouse). RNAcentral describes it as "long non-coding RNA chr15:76528732-76530425". Lineage: Eukaryota; Metazoa; Chordata; Mammalia; Rodentia; Muridae. The record is from RNAcentral.